RNAcentral lists this ribosomal RNA (496 nucleotides) under uncultured bacterium. Its description in RNAcentral is "partial 16S ribosomal RNA". It matches the Rfam family "Bacterial small subunit ribosomal RNA", at positions 29 to 507 of the family's 1533-position model. The record is from RNAcentral.
AUGAACGCUGGCGGCGUGCCUAAUACAUGCAAGUCGAGCGAACAGAUGAGGAGCUUGCUCCUCUGACGUUAGCGGCGGACGGGUGAGUAACACGUGGGUAACCUACCUAUAAGACUGGGAUAACUUCGGGAAACCGGAGCUAAUACCGGAUAAUAUAUUGAACCGCAUGGUUCAAUAGUGAAAGACGGUUUUGCUGUCACUUAUAGAUGGAUCCGCGCCGCAUUAGCUAGUUGGUAAGGUAACGGCUUACCAAGGCAACGAUGCGUAGCCGACCUGAGAGGGUGAUCGGCCACACUGGAACUGAGACACGGUCCAGACUCCUACGGGAGGCAGCAGUAGGGAAUCUUCCGCAAUGGGCGAAAGCCUGACGGAGCAACGCCGCGUGAGUGAUGAAGGUCUUCGGAUCGUAAAACUCUGUUAUUAGGGAAGAACAAAUGUGUAAGUAACUAUGCACGUCUUGACGGUACCUAAUCAGAAAGCCACGGCUAACUACGUG